RNAcentral lists this small RNA (121 nucleotides) under Oceanospirillales bacterium. Its description in RNAcentral is "RtT sRNA". It matches the Rfam family "RtT RNA". Rfam says of the family: This family represents a bacterial cis-regulatory element known as RtT RNA. The exact function of RtT is unknown although it is thought that it may be involved in changing the cellular response in relation to amino acid starvation. The record is from RNAcentral. Lineage: Bacteria; Pseudomonadati; Pseudomonadota; Gammaproteobacteria; Oceanospirillales.
AUACGAUGCUGAGCGUAUAGGGUGAGAACCGUAAGGUUCGAUUCGAGCCGUUUUUUGGUGAGAAAACAUCGUAGCCUGCGAUGAUGGCCCGAAGAGCGCAGUAAUCCUAUACGACCCACCA